RNAcentral lists this ribosomal RNA (207 nucleotides) under Yphria californica. RNAcentral's name for it is "partial 28S large subunit ribosomal RNA". It matches the Rfam family "Eukaryotic large subunit ribosomal RNA", at positions 680 to 840 of the family's 3401-position model. Lineage: Eukaryota; Metazoa; Arthropoda; Insecta; Trichoptera; Phryganeidae. The record is from RNAcentral.
AUGUGCGCGAGUCAUUGGGAACGUUGAUAAACCCAGAGGCGAAAUGAAAGUGAAAGGCCGGCCUCGAGCCGGUCGCAGGGAAGAUGCGCGGACGGCGUCAGCCGUCCCGCCGCAUUCCCGAGGCGUUUCGAGAAAGCCACCGUGCGAUUAUCGAGACGCACUGAGAGCGUACACGCUGGGACCCGAAAGAUGGUGAACUAUGCCUGG